This 626-nucleotide ribosomal RNA is filed under the name uncultured bacterium. RNAcentral's name for it is "bacterial SSU rRNA". It matches the Rfam family "Bacterial small subunit ribosomal RNA", at positions 365 to 988 of the family's 1533-position model. The record is from RNAcentral.
AUGAAUGGGGGAAACCUGAUCAUACAUGCCGCGUGGGUGAAGAACGCUUCGGUUUGUAAAGCCCUUUCGGUUGGGACGAAAAGGUUUGUGCUAACACCACGAACCAAUGACGGUACCAACAGAAGAAGCACCGGCUAACUACGUGCCAGCAGCCGCGGUAAUACGUAGGGUGCGGGCGUUAAUCGGAAUUACUGGGCGUAAAGCGUGCGCAGGCGGUUUGCUAAGACAGGUGUGACAUCCCCGGGCUUAACCUGGGAACUGCGCUUGUAACUGGCAAGCUAGAGUGUGGCAGAGGGGGGUGGAAUUCCACGUGUAGCAGUGAAAUGCGUAGAUAUGUGGAGGAACACCGAUGGCGAAGGCAGCCCCCUGGGCUAACACUGACGCUCAUGCACGAAAGCGUGGGGAGCAAACAGGAUUAGAUACCCUGGUAGUCCACGCCCUAAACUAUGUCAACUGGUUGUCGGGGAAGCAAUUCCUUGGUAACGAAGCUAACGCGUGAAGUUGACCGACUGGGGAGUACGGCCGCAAGGUUAAAACUCAAAGGAAUUGACGGGGACCCGCACAAGCGGUGGAUUAUUGUGGAUUAAUACGAUGCAACGCGAAAAAACUUAACUACCCUUGACAUG